AGUGGCGGACGGGUGAGUAACGCGUGAGAAUCUGCCUUGGGGUCGGGGACAACCACUGGAAACGGUGGCUAAUACCGGAUAAGCCGAUUGGUGAAAGAUUUAUUGCCCGAAGAGGAGCUCGCGUCUGAUUAGCUAGUUGGUGAGGUAAGAGCUCACCAAGGCAGCGAUCAGUAGCUGGUCUGAGAGGACGAUCAGCCACACUGGGACUGAGACACGGCCCAGACUCCUACGGGAGGCAGCAGUGGGGAAUUUUCCGCAAUGGGCGAAAGCCUGACGGAGCAAGACCGCGUGAGGGAGGAAGGCUCUUGAGUUGUAAACCUCUUUUCUCAGGGAAGAAGCUCUGACGGUACCUGAGGAAUCAGCCUCGGCUAACUCCGUGCCAGCAGCCGCGGUAAUACGGAGGAGGCAAGCGUUAUCCGGAAUUAUUGGGCGUAAAGCGUCCGCAGGUGGCGAUUCAAGUCUGCUGUCAAAGCACGGGGCUUAACUCCGUAAAGGCAGUGGAAACUGAAUAGCUAGAGUGCCGUAGGGGUAGAGGGAAUUCCCGGUGUAGCGGUGAAAUGCGUAGAGAUCGGGAAGAACAUCGGUGGCGAAAGCGCUCUACUGGACGGCAACUGACACUCAGGGACGAAAGCUAGGGGAGCGAAUGGGGUUAGAUACCCC
This 660-nucleotide ribosomal RNA is filed under the name uncultured bacterium. Its description in RNAcentral is "bacterial SSU rRNA". It matches the Rfam family "Bacterial small subunit ribosomal RNA", at positions 94 to 788 of the family's 1533-position model. The record is from RNAcentral.